CAGGAAAUGGUCCCGUACGGACGGAGGUUCAUGACGACAUAACCCUGGACACGGACACCACAGGCACAGGCACAGCAACGGAAACGCUCCCGCUUGCUACAGAAUACGUUCCCGACCAAGACAACAGCCAACUUCGGGACGUUCAACACUUCAUCAGGGAUGAGA
RNAcentral lists this non-coding RNA (165 nucleotides) under Stauroneis constricta. Lineage: Eukaryota; Bacillariophyta; Bacillariophyceae; Naviculales; Stauroneidaceae. The record is from RNAcentral.